AGUGAACGCUGGCGGUAGGCCUAACACAUGCAAGUCGAACGGCAGCACAGUAAUAGCUUGCUCUUACGGGUUGCGAGUGGCGGACGUGUGAGGAAUACAUCGGACUCUACUUUUUCGUGGGGGAUAACGUAGGUAAACUUACGCUAAUACCGCAUACGACCUACGGUUGAAAGCAUGGGAUCUUCUGACCUUGCGCGAUUGAAUGAGCCGAUGUCGGAUUAGCUAGUUGGCGGGGUAAAGGCCCACCAAGGCGACGAUCCGUAGCUGGUCUGAGAGGAUGAUCAGCCACACUGGAACUGAGACACGGUCCAGACUCCUAAGGGAGGCAGCAGUGGGGAAUAUUGGACAAUGGGCGCAAGCCUGAUCCAGUCAUACCGCGUGGGUGAAGAAGGCCUUCGGGUUGUAAAGACCUUUUGUUGGGAAAGAAAAGCAGCAGGUUAAGACCCCGCUGUUCUGACGGUACCCAAAGAAUAAGCACCGGCUAACUUCGUG
This 492-nucleotide ribosomal RNA is filed under the name uncultured bacterium. Its description in RNAcentral is "partial 16S ribosomal RNA". It matches the Rfam family "Bacterial small subunit ribosomal RNA", at positions 29 to 507 of the family's 1533-position model. The record is from RNAcentral.